GACGAACGCUGGCGGCGUGCUUAACACAUGCAAGUCGAACGGAAAGGCCCCCUUGUGGGGUACUCGAGUGGCGAACGGGUGAGUAACACGUGAGUAACCUACCCUUGACUUUGGGAUAACUUCAGGAAACUGGGGCUAAUACCGGAUAGGAGCUCCUGCUGCAUGGUGGGGGUUGGAAAGUUUCGGCGGUUGGGGAUGGACUCGCGGCUUAUCAGCUUGUUGGUGGGGUAGUGGCUCACCAAGGCUUUGACGGGUAGCCGGCCUGAGAGGGUGACCGGCCACAUUGGGACUGAGAUACGGCCCAGACUCCUACGGGAGGCAGCAGUGGGGAAUAUUGCACAAUGGGCGGAAGCCUGAUGCAGCAACGCCGCGUGCGGGAUGACGGCCUUCGGGAUGUAAACCGCUUUCGCCUGUGACGAAGCGUGAGUGACGGUAAUGGGUAAAGAAGCACCGGCUAACUACGUG
Molecule: ribosomal RNA, 465 nt
Filed under: uncultured bacterium
Lineage: Bacteria
Description: partial 16S ribosomal RNA
Rfam family: Bacterial small subunit ribosomal RNA
Source: RNAcentral